CUGCCUCUCCAAUGUAAAAAGUAUUUUCUUCUGUCUCAUCGAUUUAAUUUUUGGAUCGAUGUUCAACCGAUGAGAUAUUAUUUUUGGAGGAAUCCCAGACAUGUCGACUGCCGAUCAUUUUCCAAACAUGUCGACUACCGACCAAGCAACGACAUCAGCAUGUACUCUUAGUAGUUCUAUCAGCUGCUUUCACUCUGACUCAGAUAAUUGUGAUC
This 215-nucleotide long non-coding RNA is filed under the name Elaeis guineensis (African oil palm). RNAcentral describes it as "long non-coding RNA (EGUI_LNC015649)". Lineage: Eukaryota; Viridiplantae; Streptophyta; Magnoliopsida; Arecales; Arecaceae. The record is from RNAcentral.